GCAUUUCGUAGAAACAAGGUAAUUCUAAGAUUACGAUGUAGUUGUAGCCAAUCCGCUGUCAGUCGCCGAAUUAGAAAGAGAGAAGCUGGACUAGCGUUUCGCCCCCUCAGAUGUUCCAGGCAAUAAAGCAUGGUUGCAGCGACAAAGUAAAAUGGAUUGAAGACCUAAACAGACCCCAUUUGCUCGACAGCACCACAUGCAGUCAUAAACAUUUACGCGUGUGAAAAUGACAGUGACACAUGUCACACACAUGUUUAUAAAAUUAUGGAGAAAUCCCCUGGAGAUGAGACACAAUUCCGCUUCUCCUGAAUAACCAGU
Molecule: long non-coding RNA, 318 nt
Organism: Megachile rotundata (alfalfa leafcutting bee)
Lineage: Eukaryota; Metazoa; Arthropoda; Insecta; Hymenoptera; Megachilidae
Source: RefSeq, a predicted model, not a curated record